CCCUUAGAUGUUCUGGGCCGCACGCGCGCUACACUGAUACGUUCAACAAGUUUAUAACCUUGAUCGAUAGGUCUGGGUAAUCUUUUGAAUGCGUAUCGUGCUAGGGAUAGAUUAUUGCAAUUAUUAAUCUUGAACGAGGAAUUCCUAGUAAACGCAAGUCAUCAGCUUGCAUUGAUUACGUCCCUGCCCUUUGUACACACCGCCCGUCGCACCUACCGAUUGGAUGGUCCGGUGAAGCCUCGGGAUUGUGGUUCUUGCCGCUUUAUUGUGGCGUGACCGCGAGAACUUGUCUAAACCUUAUCAUCUAGAGGAAGGUGAAGUCGUAACA
This 328-nucleotide ribosomal RNA is filed under the name uncultured eukaryote. Its description in RNAcentral is "partial 18S ribosomal RNA". It matches the Rfam family "Eukaryotic small subunit ribosomal RNA", at positions 1470 to 1796 of the family's 1831-position model. The record is from RNAcentral.